CCGAAAGACCCACCCACACCCACUCCUUGGUCGAGCCACCCGGCUCGGCAGACCUCAUCUGCCGGGGUCCGCUCGCUGGAAACUGUGCAGCGCUGAGGGCAGCUCCGGGGACUCGCCCGCCCUGCAGCCGCACCGCACCACACCGCCUCAGGCUGCGCUCCCUGAAGCAGACUGUUCGGAAGCUUCAGAGGAAAGACUGGGGGGCGCUGCUGCUACUUUCUCGUCCCCGCCCCUCGCCUGGGUGAGGAGGGCUGCGGGGACGCGGCUUGCUGCACACCAACACCCACCUCCGCGCUGAACACCCCGGAGGAGGUCUGCAGGGUAGAGGUGCAAUGAUUACGGGAGUGGAAGAAGAGCCAUAAUUUUAAUUGCACGGAGGAAAAAGCUAGCGAGGCUGGAAAAGACCCCCAAACUCAAGGCCACUCUGGCGAGAGAGCCUGGAAACGCCCAAAAUACGCCGGGUCUGGACCCCGUGUUUAAAGGACACACGUUCAGCCUUCCUCUAGUCUCCCUUGCCUCCUUCCUCUCUGCUUUGCUCGGUGUGAAAAUGGACCCAGAGACUCGGAGCUUUGGCGAAAUUCCAGAGAGUCACGUGGGGAAAGGGAGAAGCGAGGAGGGAGGUGAGGGGAGGCCGGGAGAGCAACCUGAUCCCUUUAUUCAUUCUGCUGGAGUUCAGAUUGGCUUUGUCUGGGGAGGAAUCAAAAGUGCUCAUACCGGGGACGGAGGGGGUGGAGAUAGGUUGCACAGUUCUUGCUCAGGCACACCGGAAGGCAGAUGAACCGUGUCCACAUCCCUUGUUAGGGGAGGAACCGAUUCGGCGGGCUGGGGGAGCGUGUGCCCACAUCAAAGGCCCUGGGGCUACCUCCCACCCCCACAGCCCGCCACUCCUGCUGAACUAAGUGCGUCCGGGGGACCUGAUUGAUCCUUCUUCCUCGCUCUGGGACCCUCAGGCUGUUGCAUCCUGGCUUUUACCAGCAGCCCGGGAAGAUCUUGGUGUGUGUGUCCUAGGCGGAGCCUGAGAGCAAAUGCACCUUUCCCUUUCCCUAGGAGACUCUGUCAGUGGAACACAACGCGGUCUGGGAGCUGUGGGUCCAGCUGCGCCCCCAGAUGCCAAUGGCUGGGAAAGUAACAUCAGGACACGGCCGACUGGGGCGCGCACUUGAAGAGCAGAGGCCUUGAUUCCCCGCCAGGACUGACUGACGGCAGCUAUUUUUAUAGGACCGAAUAAAAAUAGCUGGUCCACGUUUAAUCGUUUUAUAAGGGAACAGUUGCAUCAGAGAGAUGCUGACUGGGUUCUGAUUGGCCCAGAGAAGAAACGUCUCGGGUCCCUCAAUUGAGUCGGGAUGGGCGAAACUGUUGGAGGGGAAGCAGUUGCAUGAGCUGUGCUGGCGGGGGUCCCACUUGUUUCCAGUCUUCACGAACACCAUGACGCGGGCCCACGUUCUAACGUGCACUGACGCCACUUGGAACAAUUCACUUUUCCGAAUAACUGGAAUAACUUGAAACUGGCAGGUCCCUGUCAGUGUUACUAUUCAGCCAGAACAAAGGAGAACCUCUGACAACCUGGCUCUGAAUCUUAAGUAUUUGGAGGACCCAGGGUUUGCACAUUUCGCCCUCAGUCUCUCUGUUGGGCUGUGGUCAUUCUAGGGACAGAGGUUGUAUCAUCUUUGUAUAAUUGAAGCACAUAGUAGGUGCUCUUUAAACAUUUGUUGAAAUAAUGGAUUAAGUGCCUGAGAGCAGCGGCCAUAUCAAGGGGAGCUGCGGGCCUUAACCUCCUCCCAAAAAAAGACCCCUCCCUUUUUAUUUAGAAAGUAGGGCCUGUGCGGUGGCUCACGCCUGUAAUCCCAGCACUUUGGGAGGCCAAGGCAGGCAGAUCACGACGUCAGGAGUU
Molecule: long non-coding RNA, 1891 nt
Filed under: Homo sapiens (human)
Lineage: Eukaryota; Metazoa; Chordata; Mammalia; Primates; Hominidae
Description: HSALNT0074054
Source: RNAcentral